GUAGGAGACGAGCGUUAUCCGGAUUUACUGGGCGUAAAGCGUGUGCAGGCGGUUCGGCAAGUUGGAUGUGAAAUCUCCCGGCUCAACUGGGAGGGGUCGUUCAAUACUACCGAACUUGAGGGCAUCAGAGGAAGGUGGAAUUCCGGGUGUAGUGGUGAAAUGCGUAGGUAUCCGGAGGAACACCAGUGGCGAAAGCGGCCUUCUGGGAUAAUCCUGACGCUCAGACACGAAAGCUAGGGGAGCAAACGGGAUUAGAGACCCCGGUAGUCCUAGCUGUAAACGAUGUAGACUUGGCGUCGGAGGGUUCAAAACCUUCAGUGUCGUAGCUAACGCGAUAAGUCUACCGCCUGGGGACUACGGCCGCAAGGUUA
This 371-nucleotide ribosomal RNA is filed under the name uncultured organism. RNAcentral describes it as "bacterial SSU rRNA". It matches the Rfam family "Bacterial small subunit ribosomal RNA", at positions 527 to 896 of the family's 1533-position model. The record is from RNAcentral.